This 443-nucleotide ribosomal RNA is filed under the name uncultured bacterium. RNAcentral's name for it is "partial 16S ribosomal RNA". It matches the Rfam family "Bacterial small subunit ribosomal RNA", at positions 338 to 795 of the family's 1533-position model. The record is from RNAcentral.
CCUACGGGAGGCAGCAGUGGGGAAUAUUGGGCAAUGGGCGCAAGCCUGACCCAGCAACGCCGCGUGAAGGAAGAAGGCUUUCGGGUUGUAAACUUCUUUUGUCAGGGACGAAGCAAGUGACGGUACCUGACGAAUAAGCCACGGCUAACUACGUGCCAGCAGCCGCGGUAAUACGUAGGUGGCAAGCGUUAUCCGGAUUUAUUGGGUGUAAAGGGAGCGUAGACGGCGUGCCAAGUCUGAUGUGAAAGGCCGGGGCUCAACCCCGGGACUGCAUUGGAAACUGGCAUGCUGGAGUGCCGGGGGGGCAAGCGGAAUUCCUAGUGUAGCGGUGAAAUGCGUAGAUAUUAGGAGGAACACCGGUGGCGAAGGCGGCCUGCUGGACUGUGACUGACGUUGAGGCCCGAAGGCGUGGGGAGCAAACAGGAUUAGAUACCCCAGUAGUC